RNAcentral lists this ribosomal RNA (301 nucleotides) under uncultured bacterium. Its description in RNAcentral is "partial 16S ribosomal RNA". It matches the Rfam family "Bacterial small subunit ribosomal RNA", at positions 509 to 808 of the family's 1533-position model. The record is from RNAcentral.
CAGCAGCCGGGUAAUACAGAGGGUGCGAGCGUUAAUCGGAUUUACUGGGCGUAAAGCGUGCGUAGGCGGUGAGUUAAGUCUGCUGUGAAAUCCCCGGGCUCAACCUGGGAAUGGCAGUGGAUACUGGCUCGCUAGAGUGUGUCAGAGGAUGGUGGAAUUCCCGGUGUAGCGGUGAAAUGCGUAGAGAUCGGGAGGAACAUCAGUGGCGAAGGCGGCCAUCUGGGACAACACUGACGCUGAGGCACGAAAGCGUGGGGAGCAAACAGGAUUAGAUACCCCAGUAGUCCCUGUCUCUUAUACC